Fundulus heteroclitus (mummichog) is the source of this 643-nucleotide long non-coding RNA. RefSeq lists it as uncharacterized. Lineage: Eukaryota; Metazoa; Chordata; Actinopteri; Cyprinodontiformes; Fundulidae. The transcript is spliced from 3 exons. The record is from RefSeq and is a predicted model, not a curated record.
CAGUGCAGACAACCAAGAGACGGAUUGGACAAGCAACUCGAGUGAUAACACCGUACUUCUUGAGAGCAAUGAUGACCUUAGCGAGGACAACUCCAGUGCAGCAUCCCCAGCACAACGACCCCCCUCUGUGCCAAGAAAGCCAAAGACCAAAACCUCGCUGCUGCCAUCUGCAUCAGCCUCAGGCUCCUCACUCAGGACUGUGAUCGCUUCACCAACCACGCCUGCAAAGGAUGAUGUUGUCGCCCAGGACAGUCUGAAGAUGCAGGCUAGGCACUAUAAAACCUUGAGCAACAUGUACAAUAAGCCAAAUGCAAAACCCAAUCAAAGCGAUGUUGCUCAAGUUUUAGACCUUGAGUUUAAGGCCAGACGGGCUUUCAUUGAUGCAGAUGUUACAAGGGAAGAAGACCGACCUGCAAAAAUCUUUGAGGCAUAUCCAUGCUUUAGAGAUGUUCGAAAUGUAUGUUGUUGUUUUUUCACUACUUGCACUUGAAUUACUGUCUAUCGACCUGUGUUCUAAAUGUCCAAUGGUUGAAUAACUGUGCACAAUGUUUUAGGCAAUGGAUGAGCUGCGGCGCAUAGUAGGUGGCACCAACAGCAGAUACAUCGAGGAAGUGAAAGGAAGAUGGGCAGACUUUUGUGCCAA